CUUGAAACACGGACCAAGGAGUUUAUCGUGUACGCAAGUCAUUGGGUGUAUAAAACCCAAAGGCGAAAUGAAAGUAAAGAGUAGAUAUUUGUUUUAAUAAAAUUUAUUUUAACAAUCUCUCUUAAGGGAAGAUGGAAAUGUCAUAUAAAUAUAUAUGAACAUUUCCCGCACUCCCAGGGCGCUUGUAUCUCGCUUUGCGAGUCGAUGCGCACCCAGAGCGUACACGAUGAUACCCGAAAGAUGGUGAACUAUGCCUGGCCAGGACGAAGCCAGGGGAAACCCUGGUGGAGGUCCGCAGCGAUUCUGACGUGCAAAUCGAUCGUCGGAGCUGGGUAUAGGGGCGAAAGACCAAUCGAACCAUCUAGUAGCUGGUUCCCUCUGAAGUUUCCCUCAGGAUA
RNAcentral lists this ribosomal RNA (398 nucleotides) under Thodelmus nigrispinosus. RNAcentral's name for it is "eukaryotic LSU rRNA". It matches the Rfam family "Eukaryotic large subunit ribosomal RNA", at positions 653 to 980 of the family's 3401-position model. Lineage: Eukaryota; Metazoa; Arthropoda; Insecta; Hemiptera; Reduviidae. The record is from RNAcentral.